GUAGAGCUAUGCGAAAUUUUGGAUACUCUGAUUCCGGCCGACCUCCACCGUUGACAAAGUCAGAGUUUUUGGAAUUCGGACGUGCUCCGACAAUUUUCUUAUUGUUGGAGUCGGAGUCGGAGUCGAAGGUAUUAGGGGCUCCGAACUCCUUCUUCGAACUCUGACUUUUUAUUUUAAGUUUUACUUCUACGUCUUUUAUUUUUUUUUUUCAAUAAAAAAUAACUAAACGACACCAUCCCGUUGCAAGUGGAAUAGCGUCGUUUUGCUCCUCUACGAUGUUUCCCUCCCCCCCUUUUCUGUCCCCCCUUAUUCCGCGAUUGCCCCUUUGGCCCUUUCUUUCUUCCAGUUCCAGAGGCCCUUCUCCUUGAGACUUGAGUCCCUCGUCGUCCAAAGCCCAGACCCACCAUUGACAACAUCCCUUCGUCGGUUCGUCCUGCCAUCUUCAACUCCAAACGGUAAAGGUUUAUGAUCACUUGGACGUUCCGACUUGAUGGAACUCAUCAUACAUGAUGUUAGAUGUGGCACAGAAGUACCAAAGAGUGAUCGAGCUGAUGGAGGUCAAGGAUGGGGGCUUUAAGUAUUCUUUGCUGGAGCCUACAAGAAAAAGGCUGGGUGCGCCGGACAAAUAUGAUUGGACUAGUGUGAGGCAUUUCGUCACAUUUGUGCAAAUUUUUUACGACAUCACUAUGCAGAUAUUUGGGACUGCGAACUUGUACUUCAACAAGCUCUCAGGGCUUCACUACCACUUUCAAGAAGGUUGUGAUGACCCUAGCGGACUGUGAUCUUGUAUAGUUAUGAGGAUGCAAACCAAAUAUGAUAAAUAUUGGGAGAUGUUGAGAAGAUAAAAUAGAUUACUUUUUGUGGCCGUGAUCCUUGACCUUCGAUAUAAGUUGGCUGUGAUAGAAUUUUGGGCAAAUUUCGUAAUGGGGGCAAUGAGGUCUGCACAGUUUAUUCAAGCGUUUAAAAGGGAUCUUGAUGACUUAUAUUCCCACUACAAUAAUAGUAAUCAGUCUUCAUUAGCAGCUGGUACCUCACACUUGAUCCUGACACCUCCCUCCGAUGACCUUUGCCCAGAUAGAGCAUUGCAUCCACGCUGUCGAGGUUACAACGUUAUGAACCUGUAUCAUCAACUUGUUGCAGCGAGGAAUAUUAUGCAGUGUACUUCUGAGGUUAAACGGUAUUUUGAGAAAGAGGUCGAGACAGCUAGUGAUGUAUUUCAAUUAUUAACUUGGUGGAAGGUUAAUUCCACCAAGUAUCCAUUUAUUUCCCGUAUUUUUCGAGAUAUACUAGCCAUUCUUAUCACUACAGUUACCUCUGAGUCGGCGUUUAGCAUUGGAGGUCGAGUGUUGGAUUCUUACCGGAGUUCAUUGUCACCAUCUACCGUGGGGGCCAUCGUUUGCACAUAGAAUUUAAUAAGUGAUAGCCCCUUGGACUAGAUACCAUUGGUAUUAAUGUUGAGAGUUAUAGAGUUGAAUUGAGUAACCCUAUUUUACUUAUUUUUUUAUUAUUAAAGUUUAUUCAAAUAAUUAUUUAAGUA
Molecule: long non-coding RNA, 1537 nt
Organism: Carya illinoinensis
Lineage: Eukaryota; Viridiplantae; Streptophyta; Magnoliopsida; Fagales; Juglandaceae
Exons: 2
Source: RefSeq, a predicted model, not a curated record